Molecule: ribosomal RNA, 408 nt
Filed under: uncultured fungus
Lineage: Eukaryota; Fungi
Description: eukaryotic LSU rRNA
Rfam family: 5.8S ribosomal RNA (bases 39-192)
Source: RNAcentral
ACUUGAAGUCUUGAAUGUAAUAUAUCAUAACAAAAUACAACUUUUAACAACGGAUCUCUUGGCUCUCGCAUCGAUGAAGAACGCAGCGAAAUGCGAUAAGUAAUGUGAACUGCAGAAUUCAGUGAAUCAUCGAAUCUUUGAACGCACCUUGCGCCCUCUGGUAUUCCGGAGGGCAUGCCUGUUUGAGUGUCAUGAACACCUCACCCCCUCGGGUUUCCGAUCGGGUGGAUUUGGGUGCUGCCAGUUACAUGGCUCGCCUUAAAAGCAUUAGCGGUUGUUGACGUAAUAAGUUUCGUCUUGUCGACCGCUCCUAAUCUCCUUCGGGAUGUCUCUAGGGACACUUCAUGAUCUGACCUCAAAUCAGGUAGGACUACCCGCUGAACUUAAGCAUAUCAAUAAGCGGAGGAA